Lolium rigidum is the source of this 2232-nucleotide long non-coding RNA. RefSeq lists it as uncharacterized. The transcript is spliced from 2 exons. The record is from RefSeq and is a predicted model, not a curated record. Lineage: Eukaryota; Viridiplantae; Streptophyta; Magnoliopsida; Poales; Poaceae.
GAUGGUCUGUUAGGUUCCAUUUUGUGUCCGCAUCAGCAAGUUGGCUGCAGGACUGGAUCUGGUCCAGAACUUGAGCUCCCUACGGCAAAGGGGACUUGGGAAGGUCAGUUUCCAAUGCUCUCUACGGCAAAGGUGAUGGUUCUGAUGAGAUGAAUGGAACGGUUGAGGUUUGAUUUCUGUUUGUGGUUAUCUUUAUUCGUUAUGACUCGGAGCUUAUUUGAUAUGGUUGGAACUUGUGAGCUGCUGGAUUGGAUUGCCGAUCAUGGGGUGGAACUAGAGAAGUUACAUACAUAUUGUGUUGGGAUAAUCGGUCCUUCUGAAUUUAAUUUCUUUCUCAAUUCAGUGUACACCAAUUCCAAUUCUGAAAUGGAUUGUUGGUUCUCCAGAUAUUGGACUUGCACAACUUAGCGAAGGUGCCCUAUUUUGCUUCAUCAUGUUAUCGGUGGUUCCUUUUUGUGACUUGAAUAAUCUUUAGCGACUUCCUUUGAUAAUUAACUUCCUAGUUAUGGCUUUCUCCCUUCAUCCGUAAUUAUGUGCUCUUGCAGAUAUGGAAACGGAGGAUAUCAUUCUGGAUCCAAGGGCUGUUGUCUAUCUCUCAGUCGAGCAAGCUAAUCCUAUCCCCUCAAUCAAUGCAUGAACAACAAAUCUACAAUUGAUUUGCAGAGGUACAGUGAUUCUGUGGAUGCUUUGGAGCUUCAGUUAGAUGGCGCAUCUUACAAGAGAAACUCAGUGCUCUCUAUUUACAUCUGUUGAACUCUUGUUUUGAUCAAACACAUGUUUUGUCUCAGUUGCUUCUUGCUUUGAUUGGGGGUUUCGCUUCCUCCUCCUCUGAGUUUGCAGAAUGUGCUGAUGGUCACUCAGAAUCUGCAAUAUUGUUCGGUUUGCAAUAUAUCUCACUGUGGUUGAGUUUCUUAUCUGUACGCUUCAUCCCUGUGCUUUUGCUGCUGAACGUGUCAUUUGCAGUAUAUGUUUUGGAUUGUUGGGACAUGUUGUGGUUAAACCCCCAUGCAUCUGGAGUCAGCUCAGUGUAUUAGAUGGUCUGUUUGUUUUAUUGGUUAGGCUCACCCCAUCAGCUUCAGUGAUUUUAUAGAUUUGAAUUGCUCUCUGCAAAAUUUGCUUUAUUUCACUCUCCGAUGGCAAUCAUUGUAAUUGAAUGUGUGUUUUGGAACCCUGGAUUGGUUUGCACUGAUAGAUUUGAUAGAUUUGACAUGAUCUAGCUAUAAGACUGAUGGUGGAGAUUGGAUUGAAGGCUAGAGGUUUGGUUAUAAGUUAAUGCUCAUUCUUUAGAUCAUGUCAUAAUUUUAUGAUGUUAAUUUGUUUGGUUUUGGGUCAACCCUAAUCGGAAUUGUGGGUCAGACCUGCAUAGUUGAGGAUUUGAAGGUGUCAUGAAGCUUGACUGGACUGUAGAUCACAGAACUGGAAGAAGUCUGCAAUGUUUUGUUCGAAUAUUUUCUUCCUUUGAAGUUCCUUCUUUAAUACAGAUUGCUCUUCUGUUUGAUUUCAUCCUGAAGCGCAUUUGUACGGUAAAUGAUUACAGGGUAUUGCAGAUGUUGAUCUGAUAUGCAUUGUGGAUGGAACGGUAGGCCCAACAGUUGCCUCACACUUUAUGCCAUUUAUUCCAAUUGAGAGUUCAUACAUUUGACUUCUGAAGUAUCGGGUUAUAUAUUUGGGCUUCUCAUUGAUUUGCAGUGUUGGAGAUUCUUAGUGCAAGGAGAGUUGGAAGGUCUAGCAAAUCAUUGGUUAACCGGGGUCUUUUGUGAAGCUUCAAGCCAUCAACUGUGUUUGCUUUCCCAACUGUUCUGACUUACCAAAAAAAUCUUGAAGCAUAGUAUUCCUUGAUUUGGUCGUUUGCGGAAGCUUACAGUUUCAACUUUCAACUUGCAUUCAGUGGCCCAUCUAUUCGGUACAGCUUGCAGUCUUUAAUCGCGUGCACAUCUGGAUCUUCUGAUUAGUGAUCUUGAAGCUUAUUAUUGAACUCUGUUGUGUUCCAACUUUGUUUGGAUGGAGAGGUCACUUAGAAGUCUUCAUUACUUUGUUACAUGUUUGUUUCUGGAAUUUGGGUUUCAUGCCAAUAUGUUUAAGUUUUAUCAAUGCACUCAGAUGUGUUUUGUUUCUCUAGCAGUAGGUCGCAGAUUUAUGACCUGAUAGGAAAUAGAAGAUUGCAUGUACAUGAGGCUCCGAAGGCAGUACAAGAUCCUUACAGUUUUAUAUACUUGAAUUAUUUUGAGAUCA